RNAcentral lists this small RNA (79 nucleotides) under human gut metagenome. RNAcentral describes it as "GA-cis RNA". It matches the Rfam family "GA-cis RNA", at positions 8 to 84 of the family's 88-position model. The record is from RNAcentral.
GAGUCGGAGCCAUGGGACGAAGUCCCAUUUAGGAUGGCGACGACGAUAUGCCGCUGAGCGUAGCGAAGGGGCUACACCC